AUAUUGAGAAGUAAUUGAUGUACAUCACUGUGUAAGUUUAAGGUGUUUGCCUCAAGUCUCUGGUAUAAUCUAGAAGCUAAAAUUUGUGUCUUCAACAAAGAAGGACAGUCUUAGAGCCUCUUGGAAAGGAUUCUAACAGGCCUCUGUUGUCACCAUGGGAACAUGCCCUGGCCAGCCUGUUGCAGGAUGAGAAAUGUGGAUGAGAGUAGUCGCCCCAGUGAAGAGUCAGCUGAUUCCAGACGUGACUAAACACAGGUUUUUGCUGUCUAAAAAUGGUGUCACUAUGGAUGUUCCUACAUAUGUCUCUGAAU
Long non-coding RNA from Balaenoptera acutorostrata (minke whale), 311 nucleotides. RefSeq lists it as uncharacterized. The transcript is spliced from 4 exons. NCBI's taxonomy places the organism in Eukaryota, Metazoa, Chordata, Mammalia, Artiodactyla, Balaenopteridae. The record is from RefSeq and is a predicted model, not a curated record.